GACUUUUAGAUACUACAGAGCCAAUGAUAAGACUAGCUAUAACUGAACCUCCAUUUCUCCCAGAAUUUGGUGAGACACCAAACAAUAUCUCACAGCCUCUGAUGUUAUUAUUACAUGUGACCAUAGAACAUGAUAAUAUUACUCAUAUUUUAUAAACUAAUAAAUAUCCAUUGCAAACAUCCAAAAGUCUAUUUUAAGUUUAAAAUAUC
This 209-nucleotide long non-coding RNA is filed under the name Pan troglodytes (chimpanzee). RNAcentral's name for it is "long non-coding RNA NONPTRT004305". The record is from RNAcentral. Lineage: Eukaryota; Metazoa; Chordata; Mammalia; Primates; Hominidae.